UACGGAGGGUGCAAGCGUUAUUCGGAAUUAUUGGGCGUAAAGGGCGCGCAGGCGGCCUGAUUAGUCAGAUGUGAAAGCCCGGGGCUCAACCCCGGAAGUGCAUUUGAUACUGUCAGGCUUGAGUAUGGGAGAGGGAAGUGGAAUUCCUGGUGUAGAGGUGAAAUUCGUAGAUAUCAGGAGGAACACCGGUGGCGAAGGCGACUUCCUGGACCAAUACUGACGCGGAGGCGCGAAGGCGUGGGGAGCAAACAGG
RNAcentral lists this ribosomal RNA (253 nucleotides) under uncultured bacterium. Its description in RNAcentral is "partial 16S ribosomal RNA". It matches the Rfam family "Bacterial small subunit ribosomal RNA", at positions 524 to 776 of the family's 1533-position model. The record is from RNAcentral.